GUGAGAUGUUGGGUUAAGUCCCGCAACGAGCGCAACCCUCGCCUUCAGUUGCCAUCAGGUUUGGCUGGGCACUCUGAAGGAACUGCCGGUGACAAGCCGGAGGAAGGUGGGGAUGACGUCAAGUCCUCAUGGCCCUUAUGUCCUGGGCUACACACGUGCUACAAUGGCGGUGACAGUGGGAAGCCAGGUCGCGAGGCCGAGCUGAUCUCAAAAAACCGUCUCAGUUCAGAUUGCACUCUGCAACUCGGGUGCAUGAAGGUGGAAUCGCUAGUAAUCGCGGAUCAGCAUGCCGCGGUGAAUACGUUCCCGGGCCUUGUACACACCGCCCGUCACACCAUGGGAGUUGGUUUGACCUUAAGCCGGUGCGCCAACCAGCAAUGGGGGCAGCCGAUCCACGGUCC
RNAcentral lists this ribosomal RNA (401 nucleotides) under uncultured bacterium. Its description in RNAcentral is "bacterial SSU rRNA". It matches the Rfam family "Bacterial small subunit ribosomal RNA", at positions 1067 to 1465 of the family's 1533-position model. The record is from RNAcentral.